Molecule: ribosomal RNA, 454 nt
Filed under: uncultured bacterium
Lineage: Bacteria
Description: bacterial SSU rRNA
Rfam family: Bacterial small subunit ribosomal RNA
Source: RNAcentral
UACGGGAGGCAGCAGUGGGGAAUAUUGCACAAUGGGCGAAAGCCUGAUGCAGCUAUGCCGCGUGUAUGAAGAAGGCCUUAGGGUUGUAAAGUACUUUCAUCGGGGAGGAAAAACAAAACUAAUAAUUUUAUUUCUUGACGUUACCCGAAAAAGAAGCACCGGCUAACUCCGUGCCAGCAGCCGCGGUAAUACGGGGGUGCUAGCGUUAAUCAGAAUUACUGGGCGUAAAGAGCACGUAGGUGGUUUUUUUAAGUCAGAUGUGAAAUCCCUGGGCUUAACCUGGAACUGCAUUUUGAAACUGAAAUACUAGAGUAUCGUAGAGGGAGGUAGAAUUCUAGGUGUAGCGGUGAAAUGCGUAGAUAUCUGGAGGAAUACCUGUGGCGAAAGCGGCCUCCUAAACGAAUACUGACACUGAGGGUGCGAAAGCGUGGGGAGCAAACAGGGAUUAGAUACC